GCUUGCUUCUCUUGAGAGCGGCGGACGGGUGAGUAAUGCCUAGGAAUCUGCCUGGUAGUGGGGGAUAACGUUCGGAAACGGACGCUAAUACCGCAUACGUCCUACGGGAGAAAGCAGGGGACCUUCGGGCCUUGCGCUAUCAGAUGAGCCUAGGUCGGAUUAGCUAGUUGGUGGGGUAAUGGCUCACCAAGGCGACGAUCCGUAACUGGUCUGAGAGGGUGAUCAGUCACACUGGAACUGAGACACGGUCCAGACUCCUACGGGAGGCAGCAGUGGGGAAUAUUGGACAAUGGGCGAAAGCCUGAUCCAGCCAUGCCGCGUGUGUGAAGAAGGUCUUCGGAUUGUAAAGCACUUUAAGUUGGGAGGAAGGGUUGUAGAUUAAUACUCUGCAAUUUUGACGUUACCGACAGAAUAAGCACCGGCUAACUCUGUGCCAGCAGCCGCGGUAAUACAGAGGGUGCAAGCGUUAAUCGGAAUUACUGGGCGUAAAGCGCGCGUAGGUGGUUUGUUAAGUUGGAUGUGAAAUCCCCGGGCUCAACCUGGGAACUGCAUUCAAAACUGACUGACUAGAGUAUGGUAGAGGGUGGUGGAAUUUCCUGUGUAGCGGUGAAAUGCGUAGAUAUAGGAAGGAACACCAGUGGCGAA
This 645-nucleotide ribosomal RNA is filed under the name uncultured bacterium. RNAcentral describes it as "bacterial SSU rRNA". It matches the Rfam family "Bacterial small subunit ribosomal RNA", at positions 78 to 719 of the family's 1533-position model. The record is from RNAcentral.